GAAAUGGGACCAGCGUGGCGUGUUCAGUUUUGGUCUGUGGGAGGUGUGCACUGGUGUCAGAUUUGUGGGGUGUGUUACAAUUGACACCACUACAGAUAGUUUAUUAGCAUGCCGUGCUUUUGCUCUGCUAGCCAUGAUAUUUGGAGUUGUGUCGGUCGCUCUCUCGUUUCUCUUCAUAUUCCAGCAGGCUAGGGGAAGUGACCCAAACAAGUUAUUCCCCAUGAUUUCUGCUGCUUGUGGGACAGCUACUGUCGUCUGUAUCAUCAUUUGUGUGAUCGUCUGGAUGUCCGAACUUCACAACGCGAACACGGACAUGGGCUACUCCUUUAUCCUGACCUGUUUUGGGGGCUUUCUGGUGCUCGUGGGGGCCGUUUUAUCUUUUGCCAGUUGUCAGGGCACCGGAUACCAACUCAUUGGCUAAUUUUUUUUUUACCAAAAAAAAAAAAGUUAAAAAAAACAAAUCUCAUACAGCGUUGAAUUCAAGUCAUCGCCUAAUUUAAAAAAAAAAAAAAACCUCCUAUACCGAGUUCUUUAUCCUGCUGAAAUUUAGAUUUAGAAAUUUUUUACUUAAUUGUUUGCAAAUGUUUACAUAAGUCUAUUCAUUCAGUUUGAUUUAUUGUUUUAUAUUUUUUUUUACAUGUUUCUAUACAUUUAUACACUCUACAGAAAAUAUCA
Molecule: long non-coding RNA, 675 nt
Organism: Physella acuta
Lineage: Eukaryota; Metazoa; Mollusca; Gastropoda; Physidae
Source: RefSeq, a predicted model, not a curated record